Molecule: long non-coding RNA, 2158 nt
Organism: Rosa chinensis
Lineage: Eukaryota; Viridiplantae; Streptophyta; Magnoliopsida; Rosales; Rosaceae
Exons: 5
Source: RefSeq, a predicted model, not a curated record
CAAAGGGAAAGUUUGUGAUGCUUCCAGAUUGCACCAACAGUGUCCAAAGGGAUUAGCGGACAUCAACAUCACUCUCUCGUCUUAGCGGACACCCCAUCAACAUCAGUAUCACUCAAGGCUUGGAAAGAGCAAGACUUUGAGAGGACAGGUUGCUGACCCAAGUGCAAGAAAUAUUGCUCGAAUAUAAUUUCUGUACAGUGCAAGCAUAGAAAGAGGCUGCUCCAGACCUGCAAUGCAAGGACAAGUUUAUCCUUCAGUGUGUAAAAACCAAUGAUGGUGCAACUCCAAAAGAGAUUACUCUAGAAGUGGUACUUACAGUACACAAUGUUGUGGAUUCUGAUGUGUAUGGGUUCUUUAUGUCGAAUGCUAUUCAUUUGGGGGAUUAGGGUUGUCUGUAGUUCAAUAAAGAGGCAGGACAUGUGGUUGUGGAGUGCAAAUUGAGAGUGGCAUAUGUUUCUCCACCUCAACCCCCUUCUUCUGUCCCAGAAGAGUCAGAGGAAGGGUCUUCACCAAGAGGUUCAGUUAUGGAGAAUGAAAAUCUUAAUGGUGUUAGAGUUUUCCAAUCUGCAGAAGGAUUUUUGGAGCAGCUUGAAGCUCUGGAGAGAUCCGCAGAGGUCAGAUAUCUGUUACUUUGAAAAAUAGAAGAGAGGCUGUACUUUUUGAAUUUUAAAGAAAUGGAAGCCCAUAAGGAUGACAACAACCUAACUCUCUCCCAAAGCUCAAGCUCAUUAACGCACACUUGCAUCGAUGGAUUCACAAUCUGAUGAUUUCAAGGGGGCCCUUAUAAGUCAUCAAUUUCAUUAAUUCAAGCACCAAAUUCAGAUGAGGUUUUACUUGCAUAUGAAAUAAAUAGAGAUGUAAAUUAUGAACAGCUUUGCUUUUGUGGGUCAUUGUGUGUGCUGCUGUGUUCAAUAUCUGUCUAGAUUUUCAGGUUAUGUAGAUCUCUUGGUUUCUUGAUUAAAUUUGUCCAUGAUGCUCGCAGGUGUUCUUCAAAGGUUGAUGAUGCCAUGAGCAGGAAGUGACAUCUCUUCUUCGUGGUAGUAGACACAAAACCUGAGGCAAAUUUUUGCCCUUUUCCUCUGUUUGAUAGGUGAUUAGUUUUUCACUUUAGAUUAAUUGUUUAAAGCUUCAAUUUUGUUUUGUUUUUUUUGUAGUAUUCUUUGCCUCAUCAAGUAGGAGGAGUUGGGAAAGUGGAAAUCCCCGUGAGGCUGUAGAUUUCUGGGGUUUGACCAAAAACCCAGGUGAACAAAACUCCCCAAGUUUGAUUCUUUAUCUCUCAGAUUUUCAUUUGGUUGUGGAAACAGUUUGUUGCGUUUUGAUUCAAUUGGCCUGUUUUGGGUUUGAUUGCUAUGUGUGAGUGGAUUUAUUGUCAGAAUAAUUCAGCAUCUGAAUUGCCUGUUUUGGUAAGAGAAAGUUUGAAAAUUGGGUUUAUAGAAAGGGAAAGAUUAUAUUUUUACGCCAAAUAAUUGAGAGCUUCUAUUCCCGUUUUCCAUUCAUGCUGGGGUAUUUUUUUUUUUUUUUACUUUUUAAUUAUGCUUUUUUGUCUUCAAGUUUUUUACUCAGGAUUUCAUGGGUGGAAAACAGAGGGGAAGAAAGGAUUUCGAAGGAUUUAGUAAAUAGGACAGUGAUUUAGUAAAUAGUAAACAGAGCGGUUGAUAUUGAGAACUGAGAAGGUAUGGUCACAAGAGUUCAGAAGAGUUCGCAAAAUAUAACACCUCUUGCAGACAUAGUAUGGUAGUCUUACUUUUCCUUAUAGCUACUCUUUUUUUCUUCUGUUUUGAAUCUAUUAGUCACAAUUGUCCUGUGUUUUCAAAUUACUGAUAUCAAAAUUGUCAAUAACAAGUUGUUGACCUAUCCACUGGAGUAGAAGAAAUUCUACUAGUCGAAGUGAUUUGAGUCUUCAACAAAAGAGAUUCUCAAUGCAAGCUAGAUCAAGAGACUUUCGAUCGAACCGGAUUUAAGCCAUCAAACAACCAAAGAAGUUUGUGCAGUAAUGAUGGCAAAUGUCCAGAAAACCUUAUUAAGAGCAGCGAUUCCACUUUAUACCAUGCAAUCUUCUGCAUAACUAUUGGUUAUUUUCAUCAGUGUGUGAUAGCUUUCAACGGCUAACGCAUAUAUGUAUCUAGCUCAUCCAAUCUAGCUGACAAUUGUUCAUUGA